GAUGAACGCUGGCGGCGUGCUUAACACAUGCAAGUCGAACGGGAAACUUUUCAUUGAAGCUUCGGCAGAUUUGGUCUGUUUCUAGUGGCGGGCGGGUGAGUAACGCGUGGGUAACCUGCCUUAUACAGGGGGAUAACAACCAGAAAUGGUUGCUAAUACCGCAUAAGCGCACAGGACCGCAUGGUCCGGUGUGAAAAACUCCGGUGGUAUAAGAUGGACCCGCGUUGGAUUAGCUAGUUGGCAGGGUAACGGCCUACCAAGGCGACGAUCCAUAGCCGGCCUGAGAGGGUGAACGGCCACAUUGGGACUGAGACACGGCCCAGACUCCUACGGGAGGCAGCAGUGGGGAAUAUUGCACAAUGGGGGAAACCCUGAUGCAGCGACGCCGCGUGAAGGAAGAAGUAUCUCGGUAUGUAAACUUCUAUCAGCAGGGAAGAUAGUGACGGUAC
RNAcentral lists this ribosomal RNA (449 nucleotides) under uncultured bacterium. RNAcentral describes it as "bacterial SSU rRNA". It matches the Rfam family "Bacterial small subunit ribosomal RNA", at positions 28 to 478 of the family's 1533-position model. The record is from RNAcentral.